GACGAACGCUGGCGGCGUGCUUAACACAUGCAAGUCGAACGGAAAGGCCCUGCUUUUGUGGGGUGCUCGAGUGGCGAACGGGUGAGUAACACGUGAGUAACCUGCCCUUGACUUUGGGAUAACUUCAGGAAACUGGGGCUAAUACCGGAUAGGAGCUCCUGCUGCAUGGUGGGGGUUGGAAAGUUUCGGCGGUUGGGGAUGGAUUCGCGGCUUAUCAGCUGGUUGGUGGGGUAGUGGCUUACCAAGGCUUUGACGGGUAGCCGGCCUGAGAGGGUGACCGGCCACAUUGGGACUGAGAUACGGCCCAGACUCCUACGGGAGGCAGCAGUGGGGAAUAUUGCACAAUGGGCGGAAGCCUGAUGCAGCAACGCCGCGUGCGGGAUGACGGCCUUCGGGUUGUAAACCGCUUUCGCCUGUGACGAAGCGUGAGUGACGGUAAUGGGUAAAGAAGCACCGGCUAACUACGUG
RNAcentral lists this ribosomal RNA (468 nucleotides) under uncultured bacterium. Its description in RNAcentral is "partial 16S ribosomal RNA". It matches the Rfam family "Bacterial small subunit ribosomal RNA", at positions 28 to 507 of the family's 1533-position model. The record is from RNAcentral.